ACUCGUCAAUUGAUUCAAAACUGCGUUUCUCUCCGGCUAUCUGAUUUGUCUACCGAGUGCUUUUCGCUUCAAGCUUUUGGGUCAAGCGGCGGAGUUCAACCACCAUCCGCUCAUGAGUACCUCUGCCAAUUUCUUCGGUUUCGUCGCGAGCGGUUACCGCAAAGACGAUCCGCCGGCCAUCUACCUCGACAACUUCCGCAUC
This 202-nucleotide unclassified non-coding RNA is filed under the name Hevea brasiliensis (rubber tree). Lineage: Eukaryota; Viridiplantae; Streptophyta; Magnoliopsida; Malpighiales; Euphorbiaceae. The record is from RNAcentral.